RNAcentral lists this ribosomal RNA (855 nucleotides) under uncultured organism. RNAcentral describes it as "bacterial SSU rRNA". It matches the Rfam family "Bacterial small subunit ribosomal RNA", at positions 527 to 1382 of the family's 1533-position model. The record is from RNAcentral.
GAAGGGACCUAGCGUAGUUCGGAAUUACUGGGCUUAAAGAGCACGUAGGUGGUUAAGAAAGUUGGUGGUGAAAUCCCAAGGCUUAACCUUGGAACUGCCACCAAAACUUUUUAACUAGAGUAUGAUUGAGGUAAGCGGAAUUUCUAGUGUAGAGGUGAAAUUCGUAGAUAUUAGAAAGAACACCAAUUGCGAAGGCAGCUUUCUGGAUCAUUACUGACACUGAGGUGCGAAAGCAUGGGUAGCGAAGAGGAUUAGAUACCCUCGUAGUCCAUGCCGUAAACGAUGUGUGCUAGACGUUGGGAAUUUAUUUUUCAGUGUCGCAGCAAAAGCGUUAAGCACACCGCCUGGGGAGUACGACCGCAAGGUUAAAACUCAAAUGAAUUGACGGGGACCCGCACAAGUAGUGGAGCAUGUGGUUUAAUUCGAAGAUACGCGCAGAACCUUACCAACACUUGACAUGUUCGUCGCGACUCUAAGAGAUUAGAGUUUUCGGUUCGGCCGGACGAAACACAGGUGCUGCAUGGCUGUCGUCAGCUCGUGUCGUGAGAUGUUGGGUUAAGUCCCGCAACGAGCGCAACCCUUACUUUUAGUUGCUACCAUUCAGUUGGGCACUCUAAAAGAACUGCCAGUGAUAAGCUGGAGGAAGGUGGGGAUGACGUCAAGUCCUCAUGGCCCUUAUGUGUUGGGCUACACACGUGCUACAAUGGUAUUUACAGUGGGAAGCAAAGAGGCAACUCCAAGCAAACCCUCAAAAAAUACCUCAGUUCGGAUUGUACUCUGCAACUCGAGUACGUGAAGCUGGAAUUACUAGUAAUCGCAGAUCAGCGCGCUGCGGUGAAUACGUUCCCGGGUCUU